CCUACGGGAGGCAGCAGUGGGGAAUAUUGGACAAUGGGCGAAAGCCUGAUCCAGCCAUGCCGCGUGUGUGAAGAAGGUCUUCGGAUUGUAAAGCACUUUAAGUUGGGAGGAAGGGUUGUAGAUUAAUACUCUGCAAUUUUGACGUUACCGACAGAAUAAGCACCGGCUAGCUCUGUGCCAGCAGCCGCGGUAAUACAGAGGGUGCAAGCGUUAAUCGGAAUUACUGGGCGUAAAGCGCGCGUAGGUGGUUCGUUAAGUUGGAUGUGAAAUCCCCGGGCUCAACCUGGGAACUGCAUCCAAAACUGGCGAGCUAGAGUAUGGUAGAGGGUGGUGGAAUUUCCUGUGUAGCGGUGAAAUGCGUAGAUAUAGGAAGGAACACCAGUGGCGAAGGCGACCACCUGGACUGAUACUGACACUGAGGUGCGAAAGCGUGGGGAGCAAACAGGAUUAGACUACCCGUGGUACGUCCACGACCGUAACCGACUAGUCAACUACGCCGUUACGGUAGGCCGUU
Molecule: ribosomal RNA, 514 nt
Filed under: uncultured bacterium
Lineage: Bacteria
Description: bacterial SSU rRNA
Rfam family: Bacterial small subunit ribosomal RNA
Source: RNAcentral